GUCGAUCAACAAGCAGGGGCGACAGGGGAUUUCUUCACCCAAACCCUAAUUUGCAAGAAAAUCACAAAUUGGAGCCUCAAAUCAGUUAGAAAUCGAAAUUCAAGCACUGAAUCGUGAUCACCUUGUCAAAGGGAUCCUAAGGCAAGGAAUCCGGAACGUCAAGUGGACACGCCGGAGGUGAUACCCGCGGAAAAGGUGUGCUUUGAAGGUAUGAAUGAAUCUCUCCCGGAUGAUGAUCAAGCACUUUGUCAAGAACCGAACAUGCAAUUUGAAGCUUCCGCACUGAAUAUAAUCUUGUCGAAACUUUAAACAUGUCAUAAAGAUUUUUGUUAAUGGUGUUUUGAAUCCUUUAAACUAGUUGUUAGUUGACUAGUA
Helianthus annuus (common sunflower) is the source of this 375-nucleotide long non-coding RNA. RefSeq lists it as uncharacterized. The transcript has 3 exons. Lineage: Eukaryota; Viridiplantae; Streptophyta; Magnoliopsida; Asterales; Asteraceae. The record is from RefSeq and is a predicted model, not a curated record.